Molecule: microRNA precursor, 53 nt
Filed under: Hippoglossus hippoglossus (Atlantic halibut)
Lineage: Eukaryota; Metazoa; Chordata; Actinopteri; Pleuronectiformes; Pleuronectidae
Description: microRNA hhi-mir-7789 precursor
Source: miRBase by way of RNAcentral
GCUGCUUCCCCUUUUUCUGUUGCUCCUUUCUGCAGCAGAGCAGACGUCGCAGC